This is a non-coding RNA of Leptonychotes weddellii (Weddell seal), 4592 nucleotides long. Lineage: Eukaryota; Metazoa; Chordata; Mammalia; Carnivora; Phocidae. The record is from RefSeq and is a predicted model, not a curated record.
UGAAAAACAAUGCUACAGAAAUAGCCCUGGGACCAGCUAUUUUCUGGGAUAUUAUGGCAACACUAUAUAGGGCUUCAUUCUUUAGGAUUGUCUCUUCCCUCCAGCUAUUCCCAGACAAGGCUAAUUUAGUACUGAUACAAGCACAUCAAGAGGCUGGGGAAAGUUGGUUUGAUCUUCAAGGCAAAGGAUGAUUCUUGUUUUGCAUGACAUUUGCCCUUCCUUCCACCUUGCCAUUCUACCUAUUAGAAAUAAUCACAGAAUAUAGUCUUCGGGCCAGUUUCUCUGGGCUUCACUAACCUCCCAUAGUCUAACACUCAAAGGAUUGUUCUGACACCUGAGAGAUUUCUUUGUAUCUCGGUUACUGGGCUUGCUAAAUCUGCCAGAGAGGUAGCCCAACUUAUAAGCAUAGAUCUAGAUGUUCUGAAACAUUUGGAUGGAAUCACUUCCCAUUUUUCAAAUGGACUUUUUGGCACUGGCCUGGAAGGGUCACCCAUCCCCUUGCUUUGCCUUUUCAGUUCUGAUUUCUAGAGGCUUAGUGAAAUGUUUUUCCUCCUUUACCCACAGUUCUCAAGGCAGAGUUCCUGGAGAUGAGAGUUGAGGCCUCCGGUAUGUAGUCUCCACUCCUGAUUACAGAACCUUGUAACACGUUUUAAAAUCCUUGGCCUCAGGGGACCCUUCACUGUUCUGGAAGGGUCUUCUUCAAACUCUUUUGUGCUGAAGAGAGCAGCUCCUUCCUGGCCCUGCACCUUCAGGCUCUAGGAUGCUAUAAAAUAAGGGGCACAUGUCUUAGACACAGGUUUAUUUCUCUUAUGUUUUCUGUCUUUGUUCCCUCAGAAGGUCUAUGUUGAGCUCCUAUAUGAUUGUGAAUGGCUGAACUCCCUCAAGCCAGACUGCAGAAACCAAGCUAUCUACUGACCUGAGUCGAAGAAAGGAGCUUAGUUUUCAACUCUUCUCUGAAUUUCCUGUCUCCUCAAAAGACCAUCAAACUCUGAAAUACUUGGGACUAAAGACUGAUCUCAGAGGUCUUACCCUGAAGUAAAAGCUACUUGAGUUGGGGCCACUGCUUGCCUUGGAAGUAGAAGAGUAGGAAUGUUUGCCAAACAUUGGUGAAUCUUGAUAUGUCUCUUACUGAGGAUAAUGACCCUGGCGCCAGGUUGGAGCUCUGGCACUGCAGUAUAUUGCCAAGAACCUGUCUGUUCCUAUUGGGCCAAACAGCAUAUGGGUGAUAUCAACCACAACUUCAUGUGAACUCAGGACGGUGGCCUUUCUGUUUUUGCAUAAAACCACUUAGGACACAUCUGCAAAGAAUAUUUUGCAUGUUGAAGCCUUAGGUCUGUUUGAAUUAUUUUUCCUCCUAUUUUUUUCCUGACAGCUUAAUUUCUAAACAAUCAAGAAAGAAACAAAAACUGAAAACAGUUCUUUAAAAAAGGCAGACUGUAUCUGUCCUGCAGAAGUUCCACUUUUGGGUCAAAUACUGGGAAAAAUUGUUAAGAUGGAUUGAGGUGAGGCAGCUGGCACUGUUGCUUCAUGUUUGCCUUCUGCAGAUAAGCUUUUAUCUCCACCAAGAAGCAACUCCUAACCCAGUGUCCGUGGAUUCAGAAACUCCAUGAAGCUUCUGAAAUGGUAUGCAGAAUUCCAUGACAAUGUACCUUUUCUGGGGAGAUGGUCCAUAACAUUCUACUGAAUUUCAGAUGGGCCUGUGACCCAAUAAGGGUUAAGAACCAUAGCACUUGAGAUAAAAGACUCUUUACAACCCAUAAAGUAUUUGAUUGGAAGGCCUUCCAAAAUUAUUUCGUCUAAUUACCUAGUUUACUAUUGGAGAAACUGAGGCAGAGCAAGUUAUCAGCCAUGCCUAAACAAGUACCCAGGUCCCUGGGCUCCUGUACAAGUUUCUUUCCAUUAUACGACACUUGUCUAACAAGGGGCCUUAUGAUUGGUGGCGUUAGUGGUCAUCAUUUUGAGUGUUGGGCUUUUACCCUCUUUCUUGAGCCUCCCAUAUUUGUUAGCAAGUGGAAAACUUUCAGACACAAGCUCCUGGUGUUCCAUUUGCCAUUUCAGUCAUUAGAAAGGAACUAAAACACAACCUGUGUAGUGACUCAGAAAUCUGAAUAGACAUUUCUGAUGCUUGUUUAUUGAUGGGAAGCUGCUGGAGAAAGUGUCACUGUUUGUGUUCCCAUGCUCUCAGGCCAUAACCUGUCUUUAGGGUCUGUGUAAUUAUAAUAUGGCCAAGUGUGAGAAAAAGGGCUUUUCUACUUGAACCUUCUAGCAAUACCUUCACUAUGGAACUGAGAGAGAAGCAUAGACAUGGGUGGAGGGAGGAGAAGAAGAGAAGAAAGGAGAGGGAGAUGGAGGAAGGGGAAGAGAGAGAGAGAAUACACACAUGCCCAAACCAACUCUGAGAUGCCUUUGAAACAAUGUUACUGAAAGAUGAUAGCCACUUUCAAGACUGAACUCAACAUGAUCCAUUCGUGAAUUAGUAACAUGUAGGCCUUUGUGGAAGUAAUCGAGCAGAAACGAUGCUAUUCCCAAUAAAGACAUGCCCAGGUGGCCACGUAAAACUCUCUCAGCUCUACCCAGUCGCAAAGGCCAAGUUAACAAGAACCAGGAACAAGUGAGCCAAGUGAUCACCAUUCUACCUGAGGCUCACCCCCAAAGGAAGUUGCUGUGAGACUCCUGGCCUCACCCAGGAAGUACUUGUUGAGCCCCAUUCUCAGAGCUGUGGCCUCUCUGCUUGCCUUGCCCCAUUAGAUAACUAACUAAAGCAAGUAGGUAUGUAGAUUUUGGCCACAGAAGCAGUGGCCAGUGGGACUUCAGUACAUUUGAAGAUGGUAGGGCCAUCAUUUCACUCUUGUUUUCUUGGGGUGGGGGAAUACCAAAAUCACCACUACAAAUACUGAAAGAUUAUUGAGAACCAGAGAAAGCCACUGCAGUCCCAGUUGAAUAGAUGUCCCAGAAAUGUGACCAUGAGAUUACUGUGUGUUUUCUGGGACAUAGAUCAAGAGCCUGGCCUAGAAAGUUGGGACUACCAGGCUGGCUGGAGACCGGGAAGCAGUAGCUGGAUAGCUCUGCCCCUGCCCUAGGCUAUACCUGAAGAAGGCCCAAAAAUGAACCUCAGUGCCUCUCCCUUUUAUGCUCUAAUUUAAAGAGCAAAAGCUUCUGUGGUGAGGCUCACUGUCAUGGAAUGAAACUGGCUUGGCCCAGGCUUGAUGGAUGAAUAGUCAUUCAGAAGAGGCUAUGGGAAUGGGGUGAUAAUUGAAGAGUGGCAACUAUAGGAAAUUAUCUGCAUACCUUGGCCAGCAGGUUAGAGAAACUGGCAAUGGAUGAACCAUAAACCCUGAACUGACAGUGAUAACAUUUAUUAAGCACCUACUAAGUUCUAAGUGCUUCAUAUACAUAAUCUCCUUUGUCCUUAAAACAAUGAUGCAAGUAGAUGCUAGUCCCUCAUUUUACAGAAAAAAGAAUUGUGGCCCAGAAGGCUAAAGUAACUGGCUCAAGGUCUCACAGAAAGUAAAUAACAGGACUGUGACUCGAAUCCAGGCCUCUCCGACUCUGUACCCCAUGCUGUUUUUCUCUUUACCACACAGAGGCUACAUUACUGGAACUGGAUGACUGACUUUCUCUGCCUAAUAAAAUAUUAAAAAGCAAGCAUUUGAAGGGAAGUAGGGCAGGUCUAGUUUACAGGGGAACAAAAACUGGACUGGAAGAGAUUUCUGAGUUGGGCUUUCUCCUAACCUUCCAUAUACCCAUUUGGUAAUGUUUUAAAAAGAUCAUUCAAUUUUACCUUGUGAAAUGAAUUUAUUUUUUAGUUCAUAGUUACUAAGUCUUUGGCUUAGCUGUUUUUCAAAGAAAAAAGGGUCCUUGUAUAUGUCUAUGUACUUUACCAUGGUUGUAGCAUGUUUAUUUUCAGUCCAAGAGACUGAAGACAUCCACACAUACAGUUUGAGAAGGACAAAACGUAUUGGUGCCUCUCUGGUACUUAAUGCCUUGGGGUCAAAUCCUUACAAGGUUUUCUGUGGUGAUAACAAAAGUUAAGAGAUAAUUUAGAAUAAGAAAUAUCAUUGAAGUUUUUGCUUUAAAAAAGGUGGGGAGGUUGUCCAGCCACAGGGUGGGGGUGUGAAACUCAGCACCCGACUUCAGUAAUAAAACAGCAUCAUAUAGAAAUACUCUAGUAUUUCUAAAAUAAUUGUUUUAGGAUACUUCCCUUAUUUAGAAGUUCCUUGAUUAUGUAAUAACUAGAAUAAAGUAGUAGAGGAAGAUGUGUCUCUGUGACCAGAAAAAAAUCGCUUUCAAAAGAAUGUAGAUCAAUGAUACUAGUUUUAACAUAGCUGCAAGCAAAUAGCCUUGACACACUACAAGCCCAAAAAGCUUUAGGAGCACUUAAAAAUUGCAGAGAGAAGCAACAUACCUUGAAGAGAUGUUUUUGAUGACGAAAAGUCUUUAUUUUCACAGGGAAAAGAAGCACUUGAUACCAAGGGCAUUAAUAGAUGCUAGAAAGACUGCCUAUGGGAAAUAUAUAUGUGACAUCAGACAAAAGAAAGAGAUCCUGGGGCCCAUUCAUGUGACUUUCAAUAAAAUAUGCAGACUGUCCAGUA